CACAGGGGAACGCUGGGGCUGUCACUGCUGGGGUGUCACACACAGGGGAACGCUGGGGCUGCCCCGCUCCUGCCCUGUCCCCAACAGCUCUGCCAACACCUUGAGGGGACACAAAGGCUGAGCCAAAGGGUGAGAAUUGAAGAAGGGGCUGAGCCGGGAGAGACCCAUUGGCAUCAUCGAGUUACAGAAUGACAGAAUCACAGAAUUGUGGGGUUGGAAGAGACCUUCAAGAUCACUGAGUCCAACCCAGCCCUAACAGCACAUCAGCAGAACCACGGCCACUGAGUGCCGCAUCCAGUCUUUUUUAAGCAUAUCCAGGGAUGGUGACUCUACCACCUGCCCUGGCAAACCAGUCCAAUACUUUAUCACACUUUCUGAAAAAAACUUUUUAAGAAUAUUCAAUUUAUAUUUCCCUUGGUUCAGCUUAAAAAUGUGUCCUCUGGUUCUGUCAGUUGUUGCCUGGAGAAAGAGACCAACCCCCAUCCGACUUCAACCACCUUUCAGGAAAUUGUAGAUGUAGAGAGUGAUAAAGUCACCUCUGAGUCUCCUCCAGGAUAAACAACCCCAGCUCCCUCAGUCAUUCCUUACAGGAUUUGUGUUCAAGACCAGCCUUGUUGCCCUUCUCUGGACACAUUCCCACCCCUCCAUGUCCUGCCUAAACUGAGGGACCCAGAACUGGACACAGCACUCGAGGUACAGUGCCAGUCCAGGGGAAGAAUGCCAAGUACACCAGUGCCAAGUACAGGGGAAGAAUGACCUCCCUGCUCCUGCUGGCCACACCAUUCCUGAUCCAGGCCAGGAGCCAUUGGCCUUCUUGGCCACCAGGGCACACUGCUGGCUCAUGUUCAGCCGGAUGUCGAGCAGUGCCCCCAGGUCCCUUUCUGCCUGGGCACUGUCCAGCCACACCAUCCCCAGCCUCUGGCAUUGCAGGGGGUUAUUGUGGCCAAAAUGCAGGACUUGGCAUUUGGACUUAUUAAACUCCAUCUUACUGGACUCUGCCCAUCCAUCCAACCAUUAAGAUCUCCCUGCAGAGCCCUCGUACCCUCCAACAGAUGGACACACGCUCCCAGCUCAGUGUCAUCUGCAGAUUUACUAAUGAAAGGCUCAAUCCCCUCAUCCAUGUUAUCAGUAAAAAUACUGAACAGAGCUGGCCCAGCACAGAGCCCUGAGGGACAGCCCUGGUGCCUGGCUGCCAGCUGGAUGCAGCAGCGCUCACCAGCACUCUCUGGGCCGGCCAUGCAGCCAGUUCUGAACCCAGCACAGAGUGCUCCUGUCCCAGCCCUGGGCUGCAGCUUUUCCAGGAGUGUGCUGUGGGAGACAGUGCCAAAGGCCUUGCUGGAGUCCGAAUAGACACAUCCACAGCCUUUCCUGCAUCCACCAGGAGGGUCACCUGGUCAUAAAAGGAGACCAGGUACUGAGGUCAGGCUGACUGGUCUGUAAUUACCAGGAUCCUCCUUCCCACCCUUGUUGUGAAUGGGUGUCACAUUGGGCAGCUUCCAGUCAUCUGGAACCUCCCCAGCGAGCCAGGACUGCUGGUAAAUGAUGGAGAAUGUCUUGGCAAGCUCAUCUGCCAGCUCCCUCAUCACCCUGGGGUGGAUCCCAUCUGGGCCCAUAAAUUUAUGAACAUCCAAGCAUCUCAGCAGUUCUCUGACUGCCACCUCCUGGAUAACAGGGGCCCAUUCUGCUCCCUGACCACAGAGAACAGUUUUCCUGAGGACAAGCCAUUCUUCUCACUAAAAACAGAUGCAAAGAAUGCUUUAAGCAUCUCUGCCUUCUCCUCAUCUGCAGUUGUUGAGUUCUCUUAUGCAUCUAAUAAAGAAUAAAUGUUGGUCUUACA
Passer domesticus (house sparrow) is the source of this 1837-nucleotide long non-coding RNA. RefSeq lists it as uncharacterized. The transcript has 2 exons. The record is from RefSeq and is a predicted model, not a curated record. Lineage: Eukaryota; Metazoa; Chordata; Aves; Passeriformes; Passeridae.